RNAcentral lists this ribosomal RNA (280 nucleotides) under uncultured bacterium. RNAcentral describes it as "partial 16S ribosomal RNA". It matches the Rfam family "Bacterial small subunit ribosomal RNA", at positions 773 to 1060 of the family's 1533-position model. The record is from RNAcentral.
GUGGAUUAGAUACCCUGGUAGUCCACGCCGUAAACGAUGGAUACUAGCUGUUGGGAGCAAUCUCAGUGGCUAAGCGAAAGUGAUAAGUAUCCCACCUGGGGAGUACGUUCGCAAGAAUGAAACUCAAAGGAAUUGACGGGGGCCCGCACAAGCGGUGGAGCAUGUGGUUUAAUUCGAUGAUACGCGAGGAACCUUACCAAGGCUUAAAUGUAGUUUGACAGAUUUGGAAACAGAUUUUUCUUCGGACAAAUUACAAGGUGCUGCAUGGUCGUCGUCAGCU